AUUGAACGCUGGCGGCAGGCCUAACACAUGCAAGUCGAACGAGUGGCGGACGGGUGAGUAAUGUCUGGGAAACUGCCUGAUGGAGGGGGAUAACUACUGGAAACGGUAGCUAAUACCGCAUACCAUCAGAUGUGCCCAGAUGGGAUUAGCUAGUGGGUGGGGUAAAGGCUCACAAAGGCGACGAUCCCUAGCUGGUCUGAGAGGAUGAGCAGCCACACUGGAACUGAGACAUGGCCCAGACUCCUACGGGAGGCAGCAGUGGGGAAUAUUUCACAAUGGGCGCAAGCCUGAUGCAGCAAUGCCGCGUGUAUGAAGAAGGCCUUCGGGUUGUAAAGUCCGUUCAGCGGGGAGGCGUUACCCGCAGAAGAAGCACCGGCUAACUCCGUGCCAGCAGCCGCGGUAAUAC
Molecule: ribosomal RNA, 406 nt
Filed under: uncultured bacterium
Lineage: Bacteria
Description: partial 16S ribosomal RNA
Rfam family: Bacterial small subunit ribosomal RNA
Source: RNAcentral